RNAcentral lists this ribosomal RNA (425 nucleotides) under uncultured bacterium. RNAcentral's name for it is "partial 16S ribosomal RNA". It matches the Rfam family "Bacterial small subunit ribosomal RNA", at positions 354 to 796 of the family's 1533-position model. The record is from RNAcentral.
GUGGGGAAUAUUGGACAAUGGGCGCAAGCCUGAUCCAGCCAUGCCGCGUGAGUGAUGAAGGCCCUAGGGUUGUAAAGCUCUUUCACCGGAGAAGAUAAUGACGGUAUCCGGAGAAGAAGCCCCGGCUAACUUCGUGCCAGCAGCCGCGGUAAUACGAAGGGGGCUAGCGUUGUUCGGAAUUACUGGGCGUAAAGCGCACGUAGGCGGACAUUUAAGUCAGGGGUGAAAUCCCGGGGCUCAACCCCGGAACUGCCGUUGAUACUGGGUGUCUGGAGUAUGGAAGAGGUAAGUGGAAUUCCGAGUGUAGAGGUGAAAUUCGUAGAUAUUCGGAGGAACACCAGUGGCGAAGGCGGCUUACUGGUCCAUUACUGACGCUGAGGUGCGAAAGCGUGGGGAGCAAACAGGAUUAGAAACCCGGGUAGUCC